Non-coding RNA from Macaca mulatta (Rhesus monkey), 3814 nucleotides. NCBI's taxonomy places the organism in Eukaryota, Metazoa, Chordata, Mammalia, Primates, Cercopithecidae. The record is from RefSeq and is a predicted model, not a curated record.
ACUACCUAGCAUAAUGUUUUACCAGCUAUCUGGGCAUCCUGUAGUCUAUUCAUGUUGACAUAUAAAAUUAACCACUACGCUAGGUUAUGUGGGAAAAGUUGUCAAUAUUUCAUUCCUUUUUUAUGAUCUUGAGGAAGACAAUGUGGAGGGAGAACCUUCAGGUCUUCAGGGAACCACAGCUUCUCCCCACUCUCUGUUUCUCCCCAAAGUGGUGAUGGAGUGGACAGGUGGAUGGUGACAAUCUUUCUCCUUCCUCCUCUCCCUGUCCCUGCACUAACCCCAGCCUCCUCCCUCUGUCAUGGGAACCAACUUUCAUGGCUGCAGCUUUGGGUCCAACACUUUAGUCCAUUGCAUUUCUUCCAACACUUAAGGUCAACGUUUUAGGGUAGGAAUGAGUAUGCAGUGCACCUGCCUGCUCUUCUGUGAGCUUUGGAGUAGCCUGAAAGAAGUGGGAGCCUCUCUGCUGAGCACAUUUUCCAUGCGGGGCAGCAAAUUCUUCCUUAAAAGGGGAUCGGUGCAGCACAUCUCCACGUCUGCCACUGACUGGAGAUGGUCCCCAGGAAGCUGAGGUCAUGCAGAGGCUUGACCGCCAACCAGCUGUGUGUGAACACAUCAGAACACUUUGCAAUCUGUCUCUGGUCUAUCAAAUGGAGAGAACACUGAAUUUCAUUGAUUCUAAGACGCACCUUUUUCCCAUGUUAAUAUCUCUCUAGUCUGGUUAUGUCACCUAAUUGAUGGGAUCUGAUCACGUGUCAGAAUUUAAUUGUCAAUGUGUUUUCUUUCUCAGUGGUACACAGUACAAUGAUGCAUCAUGCAGUCAAUCUGGUCUUAGAUGUGUGACCUGCAGGAUCACUCCCAUUGGCCAACCAUUAUGAAGGUCUCAUGUGCCUCAUCCUUUCCCAAGUACGAUGGACUGGACAUGAUGUUGAUAUUUGCUCUACUGGGUGAUGGGUGGAGGUGAUGUCUCCAGAAACCCAGGACCCAGGAGCACCACCAGGCCUCUGUGAACAGAGUUCAGAUGCAACGGAGACAAAGCCCCUGGGUGAGAUGGUCCCAGGCCUCCUUCCAGAUCUGACAUUCUAGGGCCCAGGAAUGGUAUUUCUCUGAGGUCUUGAGGGAGAGAGGCUGGUGAGGCUGGCACUGCACACCCCAAGCCACACUAAUGCCCAGCCCCAAGCUCACUGCUCUGGGAAGUCUGCAGCAAGGGACACAUCCUCACAGCUGCUGGCCUCUGUGUGGCUCAUCAGGGCAUGAGGGAAAGACCCCGUAGAGCCCAGCCGGAGGCAUGAUUGUCUUAAGGCAGGAGGCUGCUGCAGAAAGAAUGGAAAUCUCGGAGACUCCAUGUCUAAGAAAUGUCAGCAGCGAGAAGUGUAUGUGCUGGCCGUGUCUGCACAGGGCAAAUGGCAGCAAGUGCUGCGGUCCUGAUACAGUCUUACAGGGAAUCUAAAGGAUGGGCCACAGGAGAAUGGGAAGCCCAGCUGGGCGCCCAGGGCCAGCUGUGUCCACAAGACUCACUGUUCUGAGCUCUGGGCAUCGAGUACAGUGCUGGAGCCACCACGGAGACCAAACCUGUGCAGAUGACCCAUCAGGGUCAUCUGGAGGCAUUUGCACCCAUCAGCCUUAACUGCUAGCUUGCCACUCUCAGAGCCUGUAGCUUUCACAUUUCCUAAGUAAAAAAUCACUUUUGUCAUAAAAGAAAUAAAUAUUCAUUGUAAAAGCAAAUAAUCCCGAGUACUGCCUUGCCACAUGUCACCUGGAGUUUAGAUGCUGAAAGGUGGCGGCAUGGACCUGCCUGUCACAUGCGGAGAUCCGUCAAGAUUCUGCCCACACCUGCUCUAUGAAGAGCUGAGCCAUGAGCCCAGCAUUCAAGGCUCCCUGUGUUCCCGGCCCAAGUGACAGAUAGGGGGACAGAAAUCAUUUCCUGCUGCUGUGACCCACUUCCCCUCCCUGAUGCUGCCUGAUUUAUUUUUGGGAAUUCCCCUCCCAUGUAGGACAGUUGCAGGAGGAGGGGAUUGCUGGUAACGUUUCCCUAGGGAAGCUGAGGGUGCAACCCUGCCUCCCGAUGUGGGUUUCCUGAGGGAUGAGCCCUGGCCUAAGUGACCCCUCACAUGCGCUUUCCUGGGACUUUGAGUUUUGAGCAAGUGAGGGAAAGAAGCGGGGGGGAUCCCUUGUCCCAGGGGUAGCAUCCUGACCGUCCAGUUCUGGGUGGGGGCUGUCUCUUGGUGGAUUCUGUGGUUCCUUCCACUGUUCCCCACCCUCAUCUACUCUGGGAGGCUGGAGACCCUCCUGAUGGAGCCUUUUCUCCUCACGCUUUUCAGGCGCAUCCUUGUUACUUAUGGCCGAGACCCUUGACUGCACUGCAGUUAGCCCAGCCCUCCAGGUGAGGACAACUUUGGAUUCCCAUGCUCCUGCUGCCAGAAGAUAUGAGACCCCUCCCAUGCCAGCUCUUAUAGGAUCCCUCCUCUGAAUCUCUGGAAUCUUCCCUCUGGGAGAAAACGAGGGGUCUCAGUGAGGUGACCUUUGGUCUUGCCUGGAAACAGCCACUCAGGGCAGCUGCAGGGGAGGACGGGAACCUGGGACCAAGACACGGGCCAUCUAAAGGAAGUCAGUGGUGGGAGGUGGGUCCAGGCUCAGAAGGGCAGAACCAGACCUGGGAAGCCAUCAAGAAAUGUGGCUGUCACUCUGCCCCUCUCCUCAGAGCCUCUCACGUGCUCCCUGGCCAGUUACUUCAUUCUUUUCUUCUUUUUGCCUCCCUGAUGACGUGGCUGAAAAUCGCAGCCCCCACGGUCCCCAGAUGUGCAUUUCUUUAGUUCAGUGCCUUAAAGAGAUUCUGAUUGGCCCCUAGGUCGGAGGACUCUACCCCUUCCAGUCUGCUGUGGACAGGAGUCAGGUCACAGAGGGCAGCUGCAGGCCACGCCUGGGAGUGUGAGGAGGCUGUUGUCUGAGAAGGAUGUAAGGGCUGGGCAUGUGUUCCCAAAGCCAUCCCUCAAGAGACCUGGGAUUGUGCCCCUUGCUGGGGAGGAUGAUGGGCCAGCGACGUUCAGAACUUCCACCCGAAAUGGCUGAACGAAUUAACUCACCCCCAUAUGGGGGAAAUCUACAAACUACUUUUUAAUGAAUGGCCUCUUCAGAAACUGCUCUAGGGGAAAAGAUGACUCUGGUUGUUGCAGCCAAAGUCUGUUUCCCUUUGUACAAAGACUGAUUUGUAACACUCACCAUAAGCCAUUCAUUUUACUUUCGGGGAAUGAACUCCAGAAGAAGUUCUCUUUCGCAAGCCUAUCAAAUAAUAGGUGAUUUUGAGCAAGAGCUUUCAUAAGCAGUGUGUCAGGCUAACCCACAGUAAUGUGAGACAUUUAGAAAAUAAUUUGAUUCUCUCUCUUACUUCUGCCGCCCCAGCGAAUGGCAUGACUGUGAAAAGUGUGACGGGGAUGAUGACUUCAGAGGCAAGGUUCCCUCUUCCCGGAGAGAAGCCACGCAGUCUGACUUCUCCCAAUCAGACCACAUUUUUUAUUUUCUUGCUCUCCUUUUAUACCGAGGCACUUUGUUUCUUCAUUUCAUUUUGAUUUUUGAGAUAUAAAUCAAAAUUCACAUACAACUCACACUUUAACAGUAUAAAAUUCAGUAUUUUUUAGUAUUCGAAAGGUAAUGCAACCCUCACCAAUAUCCAGUCCCAGAACAUUGUCACUGCGGAAAAGAAACCCUGUACCCAUUAGCAGUCCUUCCCCAACUGUCCUAAGGAAUUACUGAUUUAUUUUCUGUCUCUGUGGACUUGGCUGUUGUGGACAUUUCAUAAAUGGGACCAUAUACUAUGUGA